Molecule: ribosomal RNA, 207 nt
Filed under: uncultured bacterium
Lineage: Bacteria
Description: partial 16S ribosomal RNA
Rfam family: Bacterial small subunit ribosomal RNA
Source: RNAcentral
CGCGUAGGCGGCGCGGUAAGUCACUUGUGAAAUCUCUGAGCUUAACUCAGAACGGCCAAGUGAUACUGCAGUGCUAGAGUGCAGAAAGGGCAAUCGGAAUUCUUGGUGUAGCGGUGAAAUGCGUAGAUAUCAAGAGGAACACCUGAGGCGAAGGCGGGUUGCUAGGCUGACACUGACGCUGAGGCGCGAAAGCCAGGGGAGCAAACG